RNAcentral lists this transfer RNA (71 nucleotides) under Stegodyphus mimosarum. It matches the Rfam family "tRNA". From Rfam's summary of the family: Transfer RNA (tRNA) molecules are approximately 80 nucleotides in length. The record is from Rfam by way of RNAcentral. Lineage: Eukaryota; Metazoa; Arthropoda; Arachnida; Araneae; Eresidae.
UCUUUCGUGAUGUAACGGUAGCACACUCGGCUCGUAUUCGAGAAAUCCAGGUUCGAGACCUAGCGAAGGCA